UGAGAAUUCUGUGCUUGAAGCAAUGUUUUAAUAAUAAAUGUGUAACAAAAUAGCAUAACAAGAAAAGGAAUGAAGAAGCCGAUUGUUACCUGGACAAUUAUAACUGUGAACUUCAAGUUUAAUGGCAUUUGGAUGUUACGAUAAUUUUGUUCACAAACCCACUGAUCAACAUUAAUUUUAUAACAUUCAUUGAAGUAAUAGGUAAUGAUGGACAAGCAGGCAGAAAUGACCCACACAAAUAAGCAGAUCAGUUUUUUGUAUGCCAUAGCAGUAGUUCUGAAUUUGAAAGACUUUGUGACCUGCACAAUUGCAACAUAGCGGUCAAUGCCUACACAUGCUAGUAAUAGCAUACUGCAAUUAAAGUUUAUUGCAUAUAUAGCUCUGACCAAUUUACACAUAAAAUCCUUGAAAAUCCAAUGUUCUUCAUGGUAAUAUACAGCCCAGAAUGGAAGUGUGAGAACAAGUAAUAUAUCCGCUAUUGCCAUAUUAAGGAGGUAAACGUCUGUCAUUGACUUUGCUCUCUUAUAGUAAUUGAAGGUCACAAUUACCAACAAAUUACCUAAAAGCCCGAAAGCAAAUAUCAGUGAAAAUACCACUGGUACCAAUUUUUUCUUAAUGUUUCCAAAAUCGACCAUUGUGCAUAGUUUGCUUUCUUCAUUAAUGUCAUAUACGGUUGGAUAUGAUUCG
Pelobates cultripes (western spadefoot toad) is the source of this 687-nucleotide non-coding RNA. NCBI's taxonomy places the organism in Eukaryota, Metazoa, Chordata, Amphibia, Anura, Pelobatidae. The record is from the annotation of a GenBank genome assembly.